This 430-nucleotide ribosomal RNA is filed under the name uncultured bacterium. RNAcentral describes it as "partial 16S ribosomal RNA". It matches the Rfam family "Bacterial small subunit ribosomal RNA", at positions 29 to 507 of the family's 1533-position model. The record is from RNAcentral.
AACGAACGCUGGCGGCAGGCCUAACACAUGCAAGUCGAGCGCCCUUUCGGGGGAGCGGCGGACGGGUGAGUACGCGUGGGAAUAUGCCCUUCUCUACGGAAUAGCCUCGGGAAACUGAGAGUAAUACCGUAUACGCCCUGUGGGGGAAAGAUUUAUCGGGGAAGGAUUAGCCCGCGUUGGAUUAGGUAGUUGGUGGGGUAAUGGCCUACCAAGCCGACGAUCCAUAGCUGGUUUGAGAGGAUGAUCAGCCACACUGGGACUGAGACACGGCCCAGACUCCUACGGGAGGCAGCAGUGGGGAAUCUUAGACAAUGGGGGCAACCCUGAUCUAGCCAUGCCGCGUGAGUGAUGAAGGCCUUAGGGUUGUAAAGCUCUUUCAGCUGGGAAGAUAAUGACGGUACCAGCAGAAGAAGCCCCGGCUAACUCCGUG